Molecule: ribosomal RNA, 507 nt
Filed under: uncultured Glomus
Lineage: Eukaryota; Fungi; Glomeromycota; Glomeromycetes; Glomerales; Glomeraceae
Description: SSU rRNA
Rfam family: Eukaryotic small subunit ribosomal RNA
Source: RNAcentral
AGCAGCCGCGGUAAUUCCAGCUCCAAUAGCGUAUAUUAAAGUUGUUGCAGUUAAAAAGCUCGUAGUUGAAUUUCGGGGCCAGUAGGUUGGUCGUGCCACUGGUAUGCACUGGCCUUACUGGUCCCUCCUUCUUGUAGAACCGUGAUGCCAUUAAUUUGGUGUUGCGGGGAAACAGGACUGUUACUUUGAAAAAUUAGAGUGCUUAAAGCAGGCUCGCGCUUGAAUACAUUAGCAUGGAAUAACGGAAUAGGACGAUCGAACCUAUUUUGUUGGUUUCUAGGAUCGACGUAAUGAUUAAUAGGGAUAGUUGGGGGCAUUAGUAUUCAAUUGUCAGAGGUGAAAUUCUUGGAUUUAUUGAAGACUAACUACUGCGAAAGCAUUUGCCAAGGAUGUUUUCAUUAAUCAAGAACGAAAGUUAGGGGAUCGAAGACGAUCAGAUACCGUCGUAGUCUUAACCAUAAACUAUGCCGACUAGGGAUCGGAUGAAGUUAAUUUUUAAUGACUCAU